Lemur catta (Ring-tailed lemur) is the source of this 111-nucleotide small nuclear RNA. RefSeq annotates it as U5 spliceosomal RNA. NCBI's taxonomy places the organism in Eukaryota, Metazoa, Chordata, Mammalia, Primates, Lemuridae. The transcript has a single exon. The record is from RefSeq and is a predicted model, not a curated record.
AUACUCUGGUUGCUCUUCAGAUUGUAUACAUCUUUCACUUUUUACUAAAGACUUCCAUAGAGAGAAACGAUUCUGAGACUUAACCCUUUUUUUUUUUUUUUGAGACAGAGU